GGGUGAGUAAAGUAUAGGAACUUGCCUAGUAUGGGGGAUAACGUGUGGAGACGCACGCUAAUACCGCAUACGCUCUACGGAGGAAAGCGGGGGAUCUUCGGACCUCGUGCUACUAGAUGGGCCUAUAUCAGAUUAGCUAGUUGGUAAGGUAAUGGCUUACCAAGGCGACGAUCUGUAGCUGGUUUGAGAGAAUGAUCAGCCACACUGGGACUGAGACACGGCCCAG
This 226-nucleotide ribosomal RNA is filed under the name uncultured bacterium. Its description in RNAcentral is "partial 16S ribosomal RNA". It matches the Rfam family "Bacterial small subunit ribosomal RNA", at positions 104 to 334 of the family's 1533-position model. The record is from RNAcentral.